Molecule: ribosomal RNA, 350 nt
Filed under: Escherichia coli
Lineage: Bacteria; Pseudomonadati; Pseudomonadota; Gammaproteobacteria; Enterobacterales; Enterobacteriaceae
Description: bacterial SSU rRNA
Rfam family: Bacterial small subunit ribosomal RNA
Source: RNAcentral
AAAUUGAAGAGUUUGAUCAUGGCUCAGAUUGAACGCUGGCGGCAGGCCUAACACAUGCAAGUCGAACGGUAACAGGAAGAAGCUUGCUUCUUUGCUGACGAGUGGCGGACGGGUGAGUAAUGUCUGGGAAACUGCCUGAUGGAGGGGGAUAACUACUGGAAACGGUAGCUAAUACCGCAUAACGUCGCAAGACCAAAGAGGGGGACCUUCGGGCCUCUUGCCAUCGGAUGUGCCCAGAUGGGAUUAGCUUGUUGGUGGGGUAACGGCUCACCAAGGCGACGAUCCCUAGCUGGUCUGAGAGGAUGACCAGCCACACUGGAACUGAGACACGGUCCAGACUCCUACGGGAG